AGGAAACAAACCAAACAGAACCAACCAAGAAGGAUGAGCGGCGCAUCCAGGAGAAAGAAAAUGGCGGCCAAGACAAGCAAGGAGAUUGUGUUGAUGUGUGUGAAGAAGGAAGCGUAAGGAAGAAAUGGUGUCUGAAAUGACUUGGGUGAGGCUUGGCUGAGGAUUGAUGGGUUGCUUUACAGGCUGUAAUGUUGUAAUGUGUUGCCAGAAA
Molecule: non-coding RNA, 211 nt
Organism: Cicer arietinum (chickpea)
Lineage: Eukaryota; Viridiplantae; Streptophyta; Magnoliopsida; Fabales; Fabaceae
Source: RefSeq, a predicted model, not a curated record